This 253-nucleotide ribosomal RNA is filed under the name uncultured bacterium. Its description in RNAcentral is "partial 16S ribosomal RNA". It matches the Rfam family "Bacterial small subunit ribosomal RNA", at positions 524 to 776 of the family's 1533-position model. The record is from RNAcentral.
UACAGAGGUCUCGAGCGUUGUUCGGAUUCAUUGGGCGUAAAGGGCGCGUAGGCGGCGGGGUAAGUCUGGUGUGAAAUCUAGGAGCUCAACUCCUAAACUGCACUGGAUACUGCUCUGCUGGAGGACUGGAGAGGAGACUGGAAUUCACGGUGUAGCAGUGAAAUGCGUAGAUAUCGUGAGGAAGACCAGUGGCGAAGGCGGGUCUCUGGACAGUUCCUGACGCUGAGGCGCGAAGGCCAGGGGAGCAAACGGG